This 480-nucleotide ribosomal RNA is filed under the name uncultured bacterium. RNAcentral's name for it is "SSU rRNA". It matches the Rfam family "Bacterial small subunit ribosomal RNA", at positions 26 to 518 of the family's 1533-position model. The record is from RNAcentral.
AGGACGAACGCUGGCGGCGUGCCUAACACAUGCAAGUGGAGCGACGAACCGGGCUUCGGCCCGGGGCAAAGCCGCGAACGGGUGAGUAACACGUGGGUAACCUGCCCCGAUGAUUGGGACAACCCGAGGAAACUCGGGCUAAUACCGAAUGUGCCCUCCGGCCUCAAGGCCGCUGGGGGAAAGGAAGCUUCGGCCUCCGCAUCGGGAUGGGCCCGCGGCCCAUUAGCUUGUUGGUGAGGUAACGGCUCACCAAGGCGACGAUGGGUAGCUGGUCUGAGAGGACGAUCAGCCACACUGGGACUGAGACACGGCCCAGACUCCUACGGGAGGCAGCAGUUAGGAAUUUUCCGCAAUGGGCGAAAGCCUGACGGAGCAACGCCGCGUGUGUGAUGAAGGCCUUCGGGUUGUAAAGCACUGUCGGAGGGAAGAAUGAAUGACGGUACCUCCAAGAAGCCCGGCUAACUACGUGCCAGCAGCCGC